GUAGAUUUCAAUAAGCCAAGGCUCUACAUUUAAUCAAAUUAGUCUUCUCGGGUGGUUUGUUUUGAAAGCUGAGAAUUAUGGGAGUCAUCUUAUAUGAAGGGCAGGUUGCCAGCAAAGUCCCACCUGCCAAACUGUUCAAGAAGUUUGUUCUUGAGAGCCUGACCCUCCUCCCCAAGGUCUUGCCCCAGGCUCUUGAAAGUGUAGUCAAUCUUCAGGGAGAUGGAGGGCCUGGUACCAUCAGACAAGUUCACUUCAGCAAUGGGA
RNAcentral lists this unclassified non-coding RNA (264 nucleotides) under Hevea brasiliensis (rubber tree). Lineage: Eukaryota; Viridiplantae; Streptophyta; Magnoliopsida; Malpighiales; Euphorbiaceae. The record is from RNAcentral.